UUGAGCGGAGAUAUAUGGAGCUUGCUUUAUAUAACUUAGCAGCGAACGGGUGAGUAACACGUAGAUAAUCUAUCCUAUACUGGGGGAUAGCCCGAUGAAAGUUGGAUUAAUACCGCAUAUAGCUAUAUAGUUGCAUGAUUAUGUAGUGAAAGAUUUAUUGGUAUAGGAGGAGUCUGCGGCACAUUAGCUAGUAGGUGAGGUAAAGGCUUACCUAGGCGACGAUGUGUAGCCGGUCUGAGAGGAUGAACGGCCACAAUGGAACUGAGACACGGUCCAUACUCCUACGGGAGGCAGCAGUGGGGAAUAUUGCACAAUGGGGGAAACCCUGAUGCAGCAACGCCGCGUGAGUGAAGAAGGUUUUCGGAUUGUAAAGCUCUGUUAGCAGGGAAGAGGAAGGACGGUACCUGCAGAGGAAGCUACGGCUAACUACGUGCCAGCAGCCGCGGUAAUACGUAGGUGGCAAGCGUUGUUCGGAAUAACUGGGCGUAAAGGAUGCGUAGGCGGUUAAACAAGUUAUAUGUUAAAUAUAUAGGCUUAACCUGUAGAAAGCAUAUAAAACUGAUUAACUAGAGUGCAGGAGAGGUAAGUGGAAUUCCUAGUGUAGCGGUGAAAUGCGUAGAGAUUAGGAAGAACACCAGUGGCGAAGGCGACUUACUGGACUGUAACUGACGCUGAGGCAUGAGAGCAUGGGGAGCAAACAGGAUUAGAUACCCUGGUAGUCCCAUGCUGUAAACGAUGGGUACUAGGUGUGGGUUGUGA
This 759-nucleotide ribosomal RNA is filed under the name uncultured bacterium. RNAcentral describes it as "bacterial SSU rRNA". It matches the Rfam family "Bacterial small subunit ribosomal RNA", at positions 62 to 832 of the family's 1533-position model. The record is from RNAcentral.